GAUGAACGCUGGCGGCGUGCCUAAUACAUGCAAGUCGAGCGAACAGACGAGGAGCUUGCUCCUCUGACAUUAGCGGCGGACGGGUGAGUAAAACGUGGAUAACCUACCUAUAAGACUGGGAUAACUUCGGGAAACCGGAGCUAAUACCGGAUAAUAUAUUGAACCGCAUGGUUCAAUAGUGAAAGACGGUUUUGAUGUCACUUAUAGAUGGAUCCGCGCCGCAUUAGCUAGUUGGUAAGGUAACGGCUUACCAAGGCAACGAUGCGUAGCCGACCUGAGAGGGUGAUCGGCCACACUGGAACUGAGACACGGUCCAGACUCCUACGGGAGGCAGCAGUAGGGAAUCUUCCGCAAUGGGCGAAAGCCUGACGGAGCAACGCCGCGUGAGUGAUGAAGGUCUUCGGAUCGUAAAACUCUGUUAUUAGGGAAGAACAAAUGUGUAAGUAACUAUGCACGUCUUGACGGUACCUAAUCAGAAAGCCACGGCUAACUACGUG
This 497-nucleotide ribosomal RNA is filed under the name uncultured bacterium. RNAcentral describes it as "partial 16S ribosomal RNA". It matches the Rfam family "Bacterial small subunit ribosomal RNA", at positions 28 to 507 of the family's 1533-position model. The record is from RNAcentral.